This 255-nucleotide ribosomal RNA is filed under the name uncultured Gigaspora. Its description in RNAcentral is "partial 18S ribosomal RNA". It matches the Rfam family "Eukaryotic small subunit ribosomal RNA", at positions 624 to 886 of the family's 1831-position model. The record is from RNAcentral. Lineage: Eukaryota; Fungi; Glomeromycota; Glomeromycetes; Diversisporales; Gigasporaceae.
AAGCUCGUAGUUGAAUUUCGGGGUUCUACCGUUGGUCGGGCAAUAGUCUGUACUGGCGUGUGGAAUUUCUACCUUCUGGGGAACCAUCAUGCUAUUUAUUUAGCGUGAUGGGAAACCAGAACCUUUACCUUGAAAAAAUUAGAGUGUUCAAAGCAGGCUUACGUCUGAAUACAUUAGCAUGGAAUAAUAAAAUAGGAUGGUGGUCCUGUUUUGUUGGUUUCUGAAUCACCGUAAUGAUUAAUAAGGAUAGUUGGG